This 392-nucleotide ribosomal RNA is filed under the name Massilia timonae. Its description in RNAcentral is "bacterial SSU rRNA". It matches the Rfam family "Bacterial small subunit ribosomal RNA", at positions 920 to 1312 of the family's 1533-position model. Lineage: Bacteria; Pseudomonadati; Pseudomonadota; Betaproteobacteria; Burkholderiales; Oxalobacteraceae. The record is from RNAcentral.
CCCGCACAAGCGGUGGAUGAUGUGGAUUAAUUCGAUGCAACGCGAAAAACCUUACCUACCCUUGACAUGUCAGGAAGGCCGAAGAGAUUUGGCAGUGCCCGAAAGGGAACCUGAACACAGGUGCUGCAUGGCUGUCGUCAGCUCGUGUCGUGAGAUGUUGGGUUAAGUCCCGCAACGAGCGCAACCCUUGUCAUUAGUUGCUACAUUCAGUUGAGCACUCUAAUGAGACUGCCGGUGACAAACCGGAGGAAGGUGGGGAUGACGUCAAGUCCUCAUGGCCCUUAUGGGUAGGGCUUCACACGUCAUACAAUGGUACAUACAGAGGGCCGCCAACCCGCGAGGGGGAGCUAAUCCCAGAAAGUGUAUCGUAGUCCGGAUCGUAGUCUGCAACU